AAGGAUCAUUGUCGAAACCUGCACAGCAGAACCGGCGCGGCAAGCGCCAAGGAAAACAAAAAUAGAAUCGUUGCCCCUUUGGCUCCCGUCCGCGGUGUGGCCAUGGGGAUGCAGCGUAUCUUGAAAGUCUAAACGACUCUCGGCCACGGAUAUCUCGGCUCUCGCAUCGAUGAAGAACGUAGCGAAAUGCGAUACUUGGUGUGAAUUGCAGAAUCCCGUGAACCAUCGAGUCUUUGAACGCAAGUUGCGCCCGACGCCUUCGGGCUGAGGGCACGCCUGCCUGGGCGUCACGCAUCGCGUCGUCCCCUCCCAUUCCCUCACGGGUUUGGUUAUGGGACGGAUAAUGGCUUCCCGUUAGCUCGGUUAGCCCAAAAAGGAUCUCUCAUCGACGGAUGUCACAACCAGUGGUGGUUGAAAGAUCAUUGGUGCUGUUGUGCUUCACCCUGUCGCUUGCUAGGGCAUCGUCAUAAACUAACGGCGUGUAAUGCGCCUUCGACCGCGACCCCAGGUCAGACGGGACUACCCGCUGAG
This 531-nucleotide ribosomal RNA is filed under the name embryophyte environmental sample. RNAcentral's name for it is "eukaryotic LSU rRNA". The stretch from base 135 to 290 matches the Rfam family "5.8S ribosomal RNA". Lineage: Eukaryota; Viridiplantae; Streptophyta. The record is from RNAcentral.